Engraulis encrasicolus (European anchovy) is the source of this 1416-nucleotide long non-coding RNA. RefSeq lists it as uncharacterized. The transcript has 8 exons. NCBI's taxonomy places the organism in Eukaryota, Metazoa, Chordata, Actinopteri, Clupeiformes, Engraulidae. The record is from RefSeq and is a predicted model, not a curated record.
ACACCAAGGGCUAUGCGCAAUAUAACCCGUUUGGCUCCAUGGAGGUGGAGAACACCAUCGAGUUGCAGUGCAGCAUUGCCGAUGUCUUCAGGUGGAGCAAGAUGGAGAAGAUCCUGCAGAUGCCACCACAGUCCUCUGAAGCUGCACUGCAGGCCCUUAAGGAGGAGAAGACAGGCACUCCCUCCAGAGAGAAGAGCAUUAACAUCUACAGCACUGUGGGCCUGGACUGGGGGGGGAUCUGGACCUCACCCACAAACUCUGGGGCAAGAUGCGAACAGUAUAACAUCCUACCAGGACAUCAUGGACUGCCUGAAGACGGUCAUCUCUGCUGUUGUGUGAGAUUACAUACAUGACACGAGCCUGCUGAGCCUGGCCCCGUACACAUGCUUCUGCAGAUGGGCCUGGACAAGAUGAGGAAAAACUACAACAACUACCUCAUAGGAAAGGAGUUGACCACUCUUAAUUAUUUGCUGAAUUUCUACCUGAACACAGAGAUGAACCUCCAAGAGCAAGUGACUCGCAUAAAGAAACUGCACAACCACUGGAGAUCGCUGCGAUCUGCUGCACCUUCCCCUACCUGCACCAUGAGAGCCUCCUCCCAUUUACACAAUCGUGCUUGAGGUACUACAAAAACAGCCCUUAUGAUGAGGAACGCGUCUUUCAGAUGGAAAUCAGACCUAUCAUGAUCCGCAGCUUCUACCAAAAGGCUUGUGAGAAGUGUGGCAGCCAGCCUCUGGUGAAUCAUGUGACCUUACACCUCAGAUGUAAUUAGAAGAGCAAUGCGACAGCAAGAAAGAGCUGCACCAUGAAUUGCCUGGCCCAAAGCCUGUCUAGCUGCUGACAGCCUUGGCUGGACCCUGGACAUGUCAUUCAUCAGCCACCCUCCAUCUAGCAUUCUUUUGUUUAGUAUUAGUAUGUGGUAUCUAUUUUGUAAUGAUGGACUUUACAUAGUGCUGUGGGAAUAUAGAAUGCACUUCUGUGAGUCCAUUACGGAAAACUGUGAGAUCGUGUGUGUGUGUGUGUGUGUGUGUGUGUGUGUGUGUGUGUGUGUGUGUGUGUGUGUGUGUGUGUGUGUGUGUGUGUCACAAGUCACCUUUUCCUCCUUGAAGGGUUGUAAUUGGGCUGAUAUUAUUUACUGUAUUUUAUUUAUUAGUACUCUUACUUUAUAUUAAUGUAUUUAAUUUAAAUGUAUAUUAAUGCAUACUUUUAUUAAUGCAUUAUACUGCAACACUGGACAGAUUUUAGGACACUAUGAUCUACCCCAAGUUAUUUAAUCUGAACACCUUGUUGGUUUACUGUGUACUGUACAGUAAUGUGGAUGGCUGCUUUUUCCCUUGCAAUAUUAUAACUUGUGUUUUUGUGUUUGCUGCUGGACAUCAUUAUUUCCUUCCGCAUCAUUAAAGUUAAUCUAAUCUA